This is a long non-coding RNA of Brassica rapa (field mustard), 1310 nucleotides long. RefSeq lists it as uncharacterized. NCBI's taxonomy places the organism in Eukaryota, Viridiplantae, Streptophyta, Magnoliopsida, Brassicales, Brassicaceae. The record is from RefSeq and is a predicted model, not a curated record.
ACCAGAAAUGGAGAUCCAGCAUGUCGAGUCAUAUAUAUGAAGCGUCGUUAGGAUACUCUGUAUCAUGUUGUGAUUUCGUCGUUUCGCCUUCACUGAAUGAAUCUUCAGAGACGGGUUUGAUUUGUCUGGAUUUAAUGCGGUAACGAAACUUCUUAACUCCAUUGACGCCCAUCAUUCAAUGAUACUUAUCUUUGUCAGAGGCGGUGUUUCUCCACUUAUAAAUAGUCAAGCCACACUGUUCUUCCAUGUCGAAGUGAGGCUGCUGAGAUUUUGGGUCGUCAAACGAGGUGGGAGUUGAUGGGAGUGGAUAAGCUUCUCCUUGAUGCGCAGAACUUGACUUUAGAUUCCUUCAAAGUUUUCGAUGAGGGACUACAACCGCGUGGAAUUUUUGAUUCCAAUUCCAGUUCAUGUGAGCUUAGCGGAGGAGAAGCUGAUGAUCUGCAACGAUGACAUAUGGCAGGAGAGUUGAAGAGGGGUUUGGUCAACUCACUCCUUCGAGUUGGCUCGGUGAUCGAGGCAGUCGCAACAGAGACGUUUGAAGCUAUGUCCGUCAUCCACAUCCUCUUCCCAACUCAUAUCUUCGUCGCCGAUUGCACAAACUUAUAACCGCUCUUUGACAUUGAAAACUGCGCCACUUUGUUCAGUGGCCACAAAGUAAGCAUAUACACUCAUCAUACGUAUGGGUGUUAAUCUAUAGUUUUCAUACGUAAAUUAUUUGAUCAAACAUUUUUGUGCAAGUCAAAGCCCUGGCAAGGGGAUUAGGGGAAUAAUCCUCAUUAGUCAUUACAAAUAAAGGUCAAUGUAUUUUCCUUUUGUUUCAUGCAUGUUCAAAAUCUCUCUUUAUACAUACAAGUUUUAUGUCUAAAUGUAGAAGAAUCUACGAGAGCAGAGGAACAUGGGAUCUGAGGGGUCAAAAACUGCAGAUAUGCCAACGAUAGCCACAUAGUACAGCCAUGUGAUGUAAUGGCCAAGCUACAGGUGUCUGCAGAUUUAUUUGAAGAAAAAGAGGAAAAGUCAGAUGAGAAGAGUGAAGAGACAGAUGAGAAGAGUGGACUGAAGAAGUGUCUGAGACUCUUACGAUCCCAUUAACACACUCAAAAACUAAAAGCACAUAAAGUAUGUGUCUUGCUUUCUUUUCUCUUUACUCUAUGAGUUUUUGCUAUUUUUGCGAUUAGGAUUUUAGGUCUAUUGUUAGUGUUCGUUGAGUGGCUUUUUUUCCGAUCCCCUGUAUUGAUGGGAUAGAAACACUCAGUGACUAAGACAACAAUAAUAUAGUCAUCAGCAGUUCAAUUUUAUGUCUGUUACUUUGA